CUCAAAUCAGGUAGGACUACCCGCUGAACUUAAGCAUAUCAAUAAGCGGAGGAAAAGAAACUAACAAGGAUUCCCCUAGUAACUGCGAGUGAAGCGGGAAAAGCUCAAAUUUAAAAUCUGGCAGCCUUUGGUUGUCCGAGUUGUAGUCUGGAGA
RNAcentral lists this ribosomal RNA (154 nucleotides) under Somion unicolor. RNAcentral describes it as "Spongipellis unicolor partial 28S ribosomal RNA". It matches the Rfam family "Eukaryotic large subunit ribosomal RNA", at positions 1 to 156 of the family's 3401-position model. The record is from RNAcentral. Lineage: Eukaryota; Fungi; Basidiomycota; Agaricomycetes; Polyporales; Cerrenaceae.